Small nucleolar RNA from Cyprinodon variegatus (sheepshead minnow), 99 nucleotides. Its record names the gene SNORD16. It matches the Rfam family "Small nucleolar RNA SNORD16". From Rfam's summary of the family: U16 is a member of the C/D class of snoRNA which contain the C (UGAUGA) and D (CUGA) box motifs. U81 acts as a guanine methylation guide and is found in an intron of ribosomal proteins L1 gene in animals. This snoRNA was independently named MBII-98 in mouse. The record is from Ensembl. NCBI's taxonomy places the organism in Eukaryota, Metazoa, Chordata, Actinopteri, Cyprinodontiformes, Cyprinodontidae.
UGCCGUGAUGGUGUAAUUUGCGUCUUACUCUGUGUCUAGUGACAGAAUGCCUGCUGUCAUAGGCUAGCACAGAUGGGUGGUGAAUAUUGAGUCUGAGCA